AGUUCGAUCCUGGCUCAGGAUGAACGCUAGCUACAGGCUUAACACAUGCAAGUCGAGGGGCAGCAUUUUAGUUUGCUUGCAAACUAAAGAUGGCGACCGGCGCACGGGUGAGUAACACGUAUCCAACCUGCCGAUAACUCGGGGAUAGCCUUUCGAAAGAAAGAUUAAUAUCCGAUAGUAUAUUAAAACCGCAUGGUUUUACUAUUAAAGAAUUUCGGUUAUCGAUGGGGAUGCGUUCCAUUAGUUUGUUGGCGGGGUAACGGCCCACCAAGACUACGAUGGAUAGGGGUUCUGAGAGGAAGGUCCCCCACAUUGGAACUGAGACACGGUCCAAACUCCUACGGGAGGCAGCAGUGAGGAAUAUUGGUCAAUGGACGAGAGUCUGAACCAGCCAAGUAGCGUGAAGGAUGACUGCCCUAUGGGUUGUAAACUUCUUUUAUAUGGGAAUAAAGUAUUCCACGUGUGGGAUUUUGUAUGUACCAUAUGAAUAAGGAUCGGCUAACUCCGUGCCAGCAGCCGCGGUAAUACGGAGGAUCCAAGCGUUAUCCGGAUUUAUUGGGUUUAAAGGGAGCGUAGGUGGAUUGUUAAGUCAGUUGUGAAAGUUUGCGGCUCAACCGUAAAAUUGCAGUUGAAACUGGCAGUCUUGAGUACAGUAGAGGUGGGCGGAAUUCGUGGUGUAGCGGUGAAAUGCUUAGAUAUCACGAAGAACUCCGAUUGCGAAGGCAGCUCACUAGACUGCAACUGACACUGAUGCUCGAAAGUGUGGGUAUCAAACAGGAUUAGAUACCCUGGUAGUCCACACAGUAAACGAUGAAUACUCGCUGUUUGCGAUAUACAGUAAGCGGCCAAGCGAAAGCAUUAAGUAUUCCACCUGGGGAGUACGCCGGCAACGGUGAAACUCAAAGGAAUUGACGGGGGCCCGCACAAGCGGAGGAACAUGUGGUUUAAUUCGAUGAUACGCGAGGAACCUUACCCGGGCUUAAAUUGCAUUUGAAUAAUCUGGAAACAGGUUAGCCGCAAGGCAAAUGUGAAGGUGCUGCAUGGUUGUCGUCAGCUCGUGCCGUGAGGUGUCGGCUUAAGUGCCAUAACGAGCGCAACCCUUAUCUUUAGUUACUAACAGGUCAUGCUGAGGACUCUAGAGAGACUGCCGUCGUAAGAUGUGAGGAAGGUGGGGAUGACGUCAAAUCAGCACGGCCCUUACGUCCGGGGCUACACACGUGUUACAAUGGGGGGUACAGAAGGCAGCUACCUGGCGACAGGAUGCUAAUCCCAAAAACCUCUCUCAGUUCGGAUCGAAGUCUGCAACCCGACUUCGUGAAGCUGGAUUCGCUAGUAAUCGCGCAUCAGCCAUGGCGCGGUGAAUACGUUCCCGGGCCUUGUACACACCGCCCGUCAAGCCAUGAAAGCCGGGGGUACCUGAAGUACGUAACCGCAAGGAGCGUCCUAGGGUAAAACUGGUAAUUGGGGCUAAGUCGUAACAAGGUAACC
This 1488-nucleotide ribosomal RNA is filed under the name uncultured bacterium. RNAcentral describes it as "bacterial SSU rRNA". It matches the Rfam family "Bacterial small subunit ribosomal RNA". The record is from RNAcentral.